This 1372-nucleotide ribosomal RNA is filed under the name uncultured bacterium. RNAcentral's name for it is "bacterial SSU rRNA". It matches the Rfam family "Bacterial small subunit ribosomal RNA", at positions 28 to 1381 of the family's 1533-position model. The record is from RNAcentral.
GAUGAACGCUGGCGGCGUGCCUAAUACAUGCAAGUCGAGCGAACGGACGAGAAGCUUGCUUCUCUGAUGUUAGCGGCGGACGGGUGAGUAACACGUGGAUAACCUACCUAUAAGACUGGGAUAACUUCGGGAAACCGGAGCUAAUACCGGAUAAUAUUUUGAACCGCAUGGUUCAAAAGUGAAAGACGGUCUUGCUGUCACUUAUAGAUGGAUCCGCGCUGCAUUAGCUAGUUGGUAAGGUAACGGCUUACCAAGGCAACGAUGCAUAGCCGACCUGAGAGGGUGAUCGGCCACACUGGAACUGAGACACGGUCCAGACUCCUACGGGAGGCAGCAGUAGGGAAUCUUCCGCAAUGGGCGCAAGCCUGACGGAGCAACGCCGCGUGAGUGAUGAAGGUCUUCGGAUCGUAAAACUCUGUUAUUAGGGAAGAACAUAUGUGUAAGUAACUGUGCACAUCUUGACGGUACCUAAUCAGAAAGCCACGGCUAACUACGUGCCAGCAGCCGCGGUAAUACGUAGGUGGCAAGCGUUAUCCGGAAUUAUUGGGCGUAAAGCGCGCGUAGGCGGUUUUUUAAGUCUGAUGUGAAAGCCCACGGCUCAACCGUGGAGGGUCAUUGGAAACUGGAAAACUUGAGUGCAGAAGAGGAAAGUGGAAUUCCAUGUGUAGCGGUGAAAUGCGCAGAGAUAUGGAGGAACACCAGUGGCGAAGGCGACUUUCUGGUCUGUAACUGACGCUGAUGUGCGAAAGCGUGGGGAUCAAACAGGAUUAGAUACCCUGGUAGUCCACGCCGUAAACGAUGAGUGCUAAGUGUUAGGGGGUUUCCGCCCCUUAGUGCUGCAGCUAACGCAUUAAGCACUCCGCCUGGGGAGUACGACCGCAAGGUUGAAACUCAAAGGAAUUGACGGGGACCCGCACAAGCGGUGGAGCAUGUGGUUUAAUUCGAAGCAACGCGAAGAACCUUACCAAAUCUUGACAUCCUUUGACAACUCUAGAGAUAGAGCCUUCCCCUUCGGGGGACAAAGUGACAGGUGGUGCAUGGUUGCCGUCAGCUCGUGUCGUGAGAUGUUGGGUUAAGUCCCGCAACGAGCGCAACCCUUAAGCUUAGUUGCCAUCAUUAAGUUGGGCACUCUAAGUUGACUGCCGGUGACAAACCGGAGGAAGGUGGGGAUGACGUCAAAUCAUCAUGCCCCUUAUGAUUUGGGCUACACACGUGCUACAAUGGACAAUACAAAGGGCAGCGAAACCGCGAGGUCAAGCAAAUCCCAUAAAGUUGUUCUCAGUUCGGAUUGUAGUCUGCAACUCGACUACAUGAAGCUGGAAUCGCUAGUAAUCGUAGAUCAGCAUGCUACGGUGAAUACGUUCCCGGGUCU